UACAGAGGUCCCAAGCGUUGUUCGGAUUUACUGGGCGUAAAGGGUGCGUAGGUGGUGGGGUAAGUCUGAUGUGAAAUCUCCGGGCUCAACUCGGAAAUGGCAUUGGAAACUACCUUGCUCGAGGAUUGGAGGGGGGACUGGAAUGCUCGGUGUAGCAGUGAAAUGCGUAGAUAUCGAGCGGAACACCAGUGGCGAAGGCGAGUCCCUGGACAAUUCCUGACACUGAGGCACGAAAGCUAGGGGAGCAAACAGG
Molecule: ribosomal RNA, 253 nt
Filed under: uncultured bacterium
Lineage: Bacteria
Description: partial 16S ribosomal RNA
Rfam family: Bacterial small subunit ribosomal RNA
Source: RNAcentral